Long non-coding RNA from Homo sapiens (human), 379 nucleotides. RefSeq annotates it as long independently transcribed non-coding RNA 2267. The record is from RefSeq and is marked validated. The transcript has 4 exons. NCBI's taxonomy places the organism in Eukaryota, Metazoa, Chordata, Mammalia, Primates, Hominidae.
GUGCUAAGAACGCUCAAGCCAUGGAGAGAGAUGCAUUUGGAGUUGUUUACAUUCAGACAAAGCUCAUCUGGUUGUUUGCAGCUAGUCACAAGGUGGCCCAUUGUCCUGCCUUGCUUUUCUCCAUUAUCUCUGGGUCAAGUUGUUUCUUUGAUAAAUCCAAAUCAUGAAAAUAGCCUGCUGAAAGAAUUCACUUUGAAAAUGCCACAAAACAGACAAUGGAAAAAUGAGAUGAACAAGUGCGAAUCCAUCAUUCUUCUCAGGUUCUGGAAAAAUGCUGGUUUUCAGCUCCUGGAAAAUUCUCACAAGACAUCUGUUUUGUUUUAUAUCUUCAUUUGUUUCCAUUCAUCUUUCCUACUGUAGACACUGUCUAUGAUUUUUU